CCUACGGGUGGCAGCAGUGAGGAAUAUUGGUCAAUGGACGAGAGUCUGAACCAGCCACGUAGCGUGAAGGAUGACUGCCCUAUGGGUUGUAAAUUUCUUUCAUAUGGGAAUAAAAUGUUCCACGUGUGGGAUUUUGUAUGUACUUUAUGAAUAAGGAACGGCUAACUCCGCGCCAGCAGCCGCGGUAAUACGGAGGAUGCGAGCGUUAUCCGGAUUUAUUGGGUUUAAAGGGAGCGUAGAUGGGUUGUUAAGUCAGUUGUGAAAGUUUGCGGCUCAACCGUAAAAUUGCAAUUGAUACUGGCAGCCUUGAGUACAGUUGAGGUAGGCGGAAUUCGUGGUGUAGCGGUGAAAUGCUUAGAUAUCACGAAGAACACCAGUUGCGAAGGCAGCCUACUAGACUGCCACUGACGUUGAUGCUCGAAAGUGUGGGUAUCAAACAGGAUUAGAUACCCGAGUAGUC
Molecule: ribosomal RNA, 460 nt
Filed under: uncultured bacterium
Lineage: Bacteria
Description: partial 16S ribosomal RNA
Rfam family: Bacterial small subunit ribosomal RNA
Source: RNAcentral